Papaver somniferum (opium poppy) is the source of this 527-nucleotide long non-coding RNA. RefSeq lists it as uncharacterized. The transcript has 3 exons. The record is from RefSeq and is a predicted model, not a curated record. Lineage: Eukaryota; Viridiplantae; Streptophyta; Magnoliopsida; Ranunculales; Papaveraceae.
AAAAUAGUAUCUUGACUUCACAAUAGUAAAGGAGUUUCGUUUUCUCUUCGUUCUGUCUCCAACUCUUUCCGUCUGAAACACCUCCAGCACCUCCGCUAUGGUUUCUGCAACACCUCCACCUCCACCAUGAAACAAGAACAACAACUACGACAAAUAUGAUACCUAACAACAGAUUUCAGCCUAGCAACCAUUGCAAUUGCUUUCCAUUCUUUAUGCUAACGAACACCUGAGGCCUUAACAUCACAUUCCAACUCAGAUUAGGAUCUAGACGUGUUUGGACAUGAGGUGUUAGUCUUAGCAUUGAUGUGUUUUUCGUUAGUUUUUGUCCAACAAUGCAGCAUGAGUAGUGACUACCUAUAAGAUGUAUGAUUUUAACCUUUUUAUGUUUGUUUAAGUUGUUCUUGACUCUGCUGCUUCAAGUUCUAAAUUACUCUUUGUUUAUGUAGUGUUAACGACUCAUUAUUUCAGUAAUGUUAACGAGCAUUGCCAGUAUACAAAAGCAUCUACUGUGCAGUAUUUUAUUGUUC